CUAGUUUCUAUCAGGAGAUAGUGGAUAUAGAAUCUCCGACAGCUGAUACUUUUGGAGUUAAUGAAUAAACUUAGUCCAUGGUCCCAUCCUAUAAUCCACACUUAGUAAAUUCCAUAGUUUUAGUAGGUAUCCAUUCCACACCUAGCAAAUCCCCAGCUUUUAGUAGUUAGUCAUUCCACACCUAGCAAAUCCCCAGUUUUUAGUAAUUAUCUAUUCUACACUUAGAAAAUCCCAUAGUUUCCAUUCUACAUCCUCAUUAGGCCUAUAAGAAAAAUAAACUAUCGUACCACUUGAGAGGGAGAGAAAAUCUUUGGGGUGGGACGUGUAGGUUAGAACAGAGAGAAGUUGGAAGUAAGAGGCUAGGAAAUCUAGAGAGACAAAGAGCCUUAAAAAAAAGAAGAGAGAGAGAGAGGUUGCCUAGAGAAAAUGAGAUCGCGAGACCUGAAAAGCCCUAGCUUUAGUCACUCCAUCCAACCAAGCCAGGGCUUGGUCAAGACUUGAAGAGAGGGACAAAGAGGACGCACGACACGG
This 531-nucleotide long non-coding RNA is filed under the name Amborella trichopoda. RNAcentral describes it as "long non-coding RNA (ATRI_LNC000481)". The record is from RNAcentral. Lineage: Eukaryota; Viridiplantae; Streptophyta; Magnoliopsida; Amborellales; Amborellaceae.